This is a long non-coding RNA of Oncorhynchus tshawytscha (Chinook salmon), 427 nucleotides long. NCBI's taxonomy places the organism in Eukaryota, Metazoa, Chordata, Actinopteri, Salmoniformes, Salmonidae. The record is from Ensembl.
GCUGAAAUAUACCUUGUACACCUACAUCUGCUGCAUGGCACAUCAUGGCACACUGUCUUUAUACGAUCAGCCAUGGAUACCACCAGACACCCAAAGUCCAUUUCUUAGUUCCUGUGACCUCUUGUAAGCGCCGUUGAUUUCCUGAUGUCUUGAUAGCAUUUGAUCAACAUGUCCUUGAGAAGUGUAACCCUGCUUGGAAAGAAGGUGCAACACCCAUGUGUCCUGAUUCAACCGACCCUUGAUUGAUGAUCAAUGAAUUAAUGUCCCACUUCAAUAUGAAGGGACAGAGGAGUGAACAUGCCUUUGCUACCACUCGUGUGUUCUCCAUUGUAAUUGGCAAGUAAAUGUGAGCAGUUGAGACAUUUGACAUAGACAAUGAGACAUUUUUUGUAGAUUUUACUGUGCGUUUCUGUUCUGUCGUGUCCUG